UACGGGAGGCAGCAGUGGGGAAUAUUGCACAAUGGGCGCAAGCCUGAUGCAGCCAUGCCGCGUGUAUGAAAAAGGCCUUCGGGUUGUAAAGUACUUUCAGUCGUGAGGAAGGUGUUAAGGUUAAUAACCUUAGCAAUUGACGUUAGCGACAGAAGAAGCACCGGCUAACUCCGUGCCAGCAGCCGCGGUAAUACGGGGGUGCGAGCGUUAAUCGGAAUUACUGGGCGUAAAGGGCACGCAGGCGGUUAAUUAAGUUGGAUGUGAAAUCCCCCGGGCUUAACCUGGGAAUGGCAUUCAAGACUGGUUAGCUAGAGUCUUGUAGAGGGGGGUAGAAUUCCAUGUGUAGCGGUGAAAUGCGUAGAGAUGUGGAGGAAUACCGGUGGCGAAGGCGGCCCCCUGGACAAAGACUGACGCUCAUGUGCGAAAGCGUGGGGAGCAAACAGGGAUUAGAUACC
Molecule: ribosomal RNA, 455 nt
Filed under: uncultured bacterium
Lineage: Bacteria
Description: bacterial SSU rRNA
Rfam family: Bacterial small subunit ribosomal RNA
Source: RNAcentral